Molecule: transfer RNA, 67 nt
Filed under: Marmota monax (woodchuck)
Lineage: Eukaryota; Metazoa; Chordata; Mammalia; Rodentia; Sciuridae
Description: tRNA.Ala
Source: RNAcentral
GGAUUGUGGAUCAGCGGUAGAGCGCUCGCCUAGCACGGGCUAGGCCUGGAUUCAAUCCUCAGCACCA